This 497-nucleotide ribosomal RNA is filed under the name uncultured bacterium. Its description in RNAcentral is "partial 16S ribosomal RNA". It matches the Rfam family "Bacterial small subunit ribosomal RNA", at positions 28 to 507 of the family's 1533-position model. The record is from RNAcentral.
GAUGAACGCUGGCGGCGUGCCUAAUACAUGCAAGUCGAGCGAACAGACGAGGAGCUUGCUCCUCUGACGUUAGCGGCGGACGGGUGAGUAACACGUGGAUAACCUACCUAUAAGACUGGGAUAACUUCGGGAAACCGGAGCUAAUACCGGAUAAUAUAUUGAACCGCAUGGUUCAAUAGUUAAAGACGGUUUUGCUGUCACUUAUAGAUGGAUCCGCGCCGCAUUAGCUAGUUGGUAAGGUAACGGCUUACCAAGGCAACGAUGCGUAGCCGACCUGAGAGGGUGAUCGGCCACACUGGAACUGAGACACGGUCCAGACUCCUACGGGAGGCAGCAGUAGGGAAUCUUCCGCAAUGGGCGAAGGCCUGACGGAGAAACGCCGCGUGAGUGAUGAAGGUCUUCGGAUCGUAAAACUCUGUUAUUAGGGAAGAACAAAUGUGUAAGUAACUAUGCACGUCUUGACGGUACCUGAUCAGAAAGCCACGGCUAACUACGUG